UACAGGGGAUGCAAGUGUUAUCCGGAAUUAUUGGGCGUAAAGCGUCUGUAGGUUGAUAUUUAAGUCUUUUGUUAAAACUUUGGGCUCAACCCAAAAUCUGCAAAAGAAACUAUCUAUCUUGAGUAUAGUAGGGGUAAAGGGAAUUUCCAGUGGAGCGGUGAAAUGCGUAGAGAUUGGAAAGAACACCAAAAGCGAAGGCACUUUACUGGGCUAUUACUGACACUGAGAGACGAAAGCUAGGGGAGCAAACGGGAUUAGAUACCCCGGUAGUCCUAGCUGUAAACGAUGGAUACUAGACCUUGUGUAUUUUAUACAGUGUCGUAGCUAACGCGUUAAGUAUCCCGCCUGGGGAGUACGCUCGCAAGGGUG
This 369-nucleotide ribosomal RNA is filed under the name uncultured phototrophic eukaryote. RNAcentral's name for it is "SSU rRNA". It matches the Rfam family "Bacterial small subunit ribosomal RNA", at positions 524 to 896 of the family's 1533-position model. The record is from RNAcentral.